Non-coding RNA from Nicotiana tabacum (common tobacco), 698 nucleotides. NCBI's taxonomy places the organism in Eukaryota, Viridiplantae, Streptophyta, Magnoliopsida, Solanales, Solanaceae. The record is from RefSeq and is a predicted model, not a curated record.
GACCCCCCAAACCCUUAGAGACCCCAUUUUCAUUCCCUCUCAUCUCUCUCACUCAAACCCUAGCCGUCCCAAGACCCUUUGCCGGCGACGCCACUUCAAACAACCCCAAUCUCCCUCGAAUUCACACCCCACAGUCCUCACAUCCUCCUAAUCCCUAAUAUCCCAUCAAUUUUCCCAAAAAACCACCCAAACUUCACAAAUUUUAGAUCUAAAAAACGGUCAGAAAACCUAGCUUCAUUCCCUUUGGAUUUCUUCAUUGAUUCUCAACUCUUUUGACUUGAAACUGACAUUGAUCAAUUGCUCUAGUCAAGAGCAAUUGAUUAAUGUAAGUUUUAUCUCAUUUCGGAACCAUCAGAAUCCGGUCGAACCUCGUUGAAAUCGCUUCAAUUGAAUCGUCUUUCCUUCCAUAGGUCAAUAAUGGUGGAUCUGGUCACAGGUUGGUUUGAUUUGCCAUUUAAGGCUUGAGUGAAGUUUCAUCUCUGCCGGCUCUUUGUUGUUUGGGUUUGUUAUUCAUUAAGCAUCAGUUAGAGUUGUGAUCAUAGUGAAGGUUAACCAAACAUGUAUUCUUUAAUGGAGGAUGGAUGUUGUAAUUUUAAGCAUAAGAUGAUGUAUUCCAUAAUUGACAGUGUAUUUGCUUAGGUGACUGUUCAUGUAAAUUACAAAUGUUUAAAUUGAUAGAAGUUCAUUUGUUCAAACCA